AAGUCGUAACAAGGUUUCCGUAGGUGAACCUGCGGAAGGAUCAUUACAAAUCCAUCCCGUCUCACCCGAGACAAUGUUGAAACAUUCACUUGGUACGGACGUGCGCACGCACGACCUCCUUCACCGGAGUCGUCGUAGCCGUCCUGCCAAACCCCUUGACUAGAAAAACUGUUGUUCAUAUGUAUGCUUCUUACAACAAAGAAACAACUUAUACCAAUGGAUCUCUAGGCUCUU
This 234-nucleotide unclassified non-coding RNA is filed under the name Phylloporus sp. Its description in RNAcentral is "partial contains small subunit ribosomal RNA, internal transcribed spacer 1, and 5.8S ribosomal RNA". The stretch from base 1 to 46 matches the Rfam family "Eukaryotic small subunit ribosomal RNA", at positions 1786 to 1831 of the family's 1831-position model. The record is from RNAcentral. Lineage: Eukaryota; Fungi; Basidiomycota; Agaricomycetes; Boletales; Boletaceae. RNAcentral also lists the same sequence under 1 other name.